Molecule: long non-coding RNA, 609 nt
Organism: Tympanuchus pallidicinctus (lesser prairie-chicken)
Lineage: Eukaryota; Metazoa; Chordata; Aves; Galliformes; Phasianidae
Exons: 3
Source: RefSeq, a predicted model, not a curated record
GCCGCAUAACAACAGUGAUGGAAAGAAGGAGCUGAUCCAAGUUGAAGCCCUCAUUUCUCCCGGCUGACACAAAACUGGGCAGAGUGGCUGACACAGCAAAAGGCUGUGCUGCCUUCCAGCGAGACCUGGAGAGUUGGGUGGGGAGAAACGGAAUGAGAAAGAACAAGGGCAGGUGAUCCUGCCCCAGCAGGGGGAUUGGACGAGGUGAUCUUUGGAGGUCCCUUCCAAUUCCUGACAUUCUGUGAUUCUGUGCAAAGUUGGUUCACGGUAGUACUUUUGCUGCUGGGAAAUAGGAGCGCUGAUCUUUGGGAAGUUCCGGAUGCUGUCAGGAGUUAUUCAAGCCCAUUGGUGUUAAUUUGAUCCUGGACUGGCUGCUGCUUGACAUGCUGUCUGCACAGAGGUAACACAUGCAUUAAUUUGUUUCCUGUCCUCUGCUGUUUUGUCUCUUGUUUUUAGUUAAUGCUGAAAACCCACCUACGGCUGUGGUUGGGAAAUUGGUUCACUUGCUCGAUCGGACCCAGAUUUUCAGGAGGAGCUGGAGCUAAUGAAACUGUGUGAGGAAGCUGUGACCUUGAUCCGAUCUAAUCAACAGCUUGAAAAUGACCUCAA